CAAGUAGGCGGCCUAUUAAGUGAGGGGUGAAAUCCUGCGGCUCAAUCGCAGAACUGCCUUUCAAACUAAUAGGCUUGAGAUCGGAAGGGGGAAAUGGAAUUAGCAGUGUAAGGGUGAAAUCUGUAGAUAUUGCUAAGAACACCAAUGGCGUAAGCAAUUUCCUGGUCCGAUUCUGACGCUAAAUUGCGAAAGCUAGGGGAGCAAACAGGAUUAGAUACCCUGGUAGUCC
RNAcentral lists this ribosomal RNA (229 nucleotides) under uncultured bacterium. RNAcentral describes it as "partial 16S ribosomal RNA". It matches the Rfam family "Bacterial small subunit ribosomal RNA", at positions 568 to 796 of the family's 1533-position model. The record is from RNAcentral.